This is a non-coding RNA of Homo sapiens (human), 66 nucleotides long. The record is from the annotation of a RefSeq genome assembly. Lineage: Eukaryota; Metazoa; Chordata; Mammalia; Primates; Hominidae.
UGAAUUAUGGAGGAAGCCAAGGAAAUCUCAUCUUUGGAAAAGGCACUAAACUCUCUGUUAAACCAA